GAGCAAGACUUGGAAGUGUAAAGAACUGCUAAUUCUUAAACCCAUAGUUCAAUUCUAUGGCUUACUUA
Non-coding RNA from Callorhinchus milii (elephant shark), 68 nucleotides. Lineage: Eukaryota; Metazoa; Chordata; Chondrichthyes; Chimaeriformes; Callorhinchidae. The record is from Ensembl.